AUGAUAUCAUGGCCUCUCUCUCUUUUUUUCUUUUUAAGGUUUAUACUUUUUGUUCUUCGAUCUGGGUUCGAUCACCAAGCCAAAAGGGAUGAGCUUGGUGCAUCAGAGAGCACACAUGGAUGUGUGCCCUUUGUUUGGGUCCUUGAAGUAGGCCUUUUUAGAAGCACAAAGGAGAUGUGGAGAUUUGGGUUAAACUCUCCAUGUGUUUGUACAAACGAAACAGUUAUAUUGAUUGUUGAUCACUUAUCAUCAUGCAUGUUUUGCCGGGGGGCUUUCCUUCCGGUUUCCCCUUGGUUGUGCUUUUGUAUUCAAGUUGUCAAGUCACUUUAUCAUCAACACUAUUGUGUUGGUUGUUGUUUGUGA
Molecule: ribosomal RNA, 363 nt
Filed under: Triticum aestivum (bread wheat)
Lineage: Eukaryota; Viridiplantae; Streptophyta; Magnoliopsida; Poales; Poaceae
Description: partial small subunit ribosomal RNA
Source: RNAcentral